GUGUUCGCGGAAAGGAGAGAUUGGUUGGCAUCUCCCCUGACAGGGACGAGAAUCUCUGUGAGAAACACACGGUUAAGGCUUCUGCCUUGGCGCGGAUCUUUACACAUUUUUUC
RNAcentral lists this non-coding RNA (113 nucleotides) under Ananas comosus (pineapple). The record is from RNAcentral. Lineage: Eukaryota; Viridiplantae; Streptophyta; Magnoliopsida; Poales; Bromeliaceae.